GUACACUCCUACGGGAGGCAGCAGUGGGGAAUUUUGGACAAUGGGGGCAACCCUGAUCCAGCAAUGCCGCGUGAGUGAAGAAGGCCUUCGGGUUGUAAAGCUCUUUUGUCAGGGAAGAAACGGUGGUGGCGAAUAACUACUACUAAUGACGGUACCUGAAGAAUAAGCACCGGCUAACUACGUGCCAGCAGCCGCGGUAAUACGUAGGGUGCAAGCGUUAAUCGGAAUUACUGGGCGUAAAGCGUGCGCAGGCGGUUGUGUAAGUCAGAUGUGAAAUCCCCGGGCUCAACCUGGGAAUUGCAUUUGAGACUGCACGGCUAGAGUGUGUCAGAGGGGGGUAGAAUUCCACGUGUAGCAGUGAAAUGCGUAGAUAUGUGGAGGAAUACCGAUGGCGAAGGCAGCCCCCUGGGAUAACACUGACGCUCAUGCACGAAAGCGUGGGGAGCAAACAGGAUUAGAAACCCUAGUAGUCCCAUG
Molecule: ribosomal RNA, 477 nt
Filed under: uncultured organism
Description: partial 16S ribosomal RNA
Rfam family: Bacterial small subunit ribosomal RNA
Source: RNAcentral